RNAcentral lists this non-coding RNA (25 nucleotides) under Arabidopsis thaliana (thale cress). The record is from RNAcentral. RNAcentral also lists the same sequence under 1 other name. Lineage: Eukaryota; Viridiplantae; Streptophyta; Magnoliopsida; Brassicales; Brassicaceae.
GCGCCUGUAGCUCAGUGGAUAGAGC